CAGUCGCCGCGGGAAUACGUAGGUGGCAAGCGUUGUCCGGAAUUAUUGGGCGUAAAGGGCUCGCAGGCGGUUUCUUAAGUCUGAUGUGAAAGCCCCCGGCUCAACCGGGGAGGGUCAUUGGAAACUGGGAAACUUGAGUGCAGAAGAGGAGAGUGGAAUUCCACGUGUAGCGGUGAAAUGCGUAGAGAUGUGGAGGAACACCAGUGGCGAAGGCGACUCUCUGGUCUGUAACUGACGCUGAGGAGCGAAUGCGUGGGGAGCGAACAGGAUUAGAUACCCGCGUAGUCCCUGUCUCUUAUAC
This 301-nucleotide ribosomal RNA is filed under the name uncultured bacterium. RNAcentral's name for it is "partial 16S ribosomal RNA". It matches the Rfam family "Bacterial small subunit ribosomal RNA", at positions 509 to 807 of the family's 1533-position model. The record is from RNAcentral.